RNAcentral lists this ribosomal RNA (253 nucleotides) under uncultured bacterium. Its description in RNAcentral is "partial 16S ribosomal RNA". It matches the Rfam family "Bacterial small subunit ribosomal RNA", at positions 524 to 776 of the family's 1533-position model. The record is from RNAcentral.
UACGAAGGGGGCUAGCGUUGCUCGGAAUCACUGGGCGUAAAGGGUGCGUAGGCGGGUCUUUAAGUCAGGGGUGAAAUCCUGGAGCUCAACUCCGGAACUGCCUUUGAUACUGAAGAUCUUGAGUUCGGGAGAGGUGAGUGGAACUGCGAGUGUAGAGGUGAAAUUCGUAGAUAUUCGCAAGAACACCUGUGGCGAAAGCGGCUCACUGGACCAUAACUGACGCUGAUGCACGAAAGCUGGGGGAGCAAACAGG